GACGAACGCUGGCGGCGUGCCUAAUACAUGCAAGUUGAGCGAUGAAGCUUGGUGCUUGCACCAAUUUGAAGAGCAGCGAACGGGGGAGUAACGCGUGGGGAAUCUGCCUUUGAGCGGGGGACAACAUUUGGAAACGAAUGCUAAUACCGCAUAACAACUUUAAACAUAAGUUUUAAGAUUGAAAGAUGCAAUUGCAUCACUCAAAGAUGAUCCCGCGUUGUAUUAGCUAGUUGGUGAGGUAAAGGCUCACCAAGGCGAUGAUACAUAGCCGACCUGAGAGGGUGAUCGGCCACAUUGGGACUGCGACCCGGCCCAAACUCCUACGGGAGGCAGCAGUAGGGAAUCUUCGGCAAUGGACGAAAGUCUGACCGAGCAACGCCGCGUGAGUGAAGAAGGUUUUCGGAUCGUAAAACUCUGUUGGUAGAGAAGAACGUUGGUGAGAGUGGAAAGCUCAUCAAGUGACGGUAACUACCCAGAAAGGGACGGCUAACUACGUG
This 497-nucleotide ribosomal RNA is filed under the name uncultured bacterium. RNAcentral's name for it is "partial 16S ribosomal RNA". It matches the Rfam family "Bacterial small subunit ribosomal RNA", at positions 28 to 507 of the family's 1533-position model. The record is from RNAcentral.